GUCGGGGGCUCUCGGCCGCAGGGCGCACGCGUUCAGCCCUCACCGAAAGCUGCGCGGGCGGGCGCGUAGGUGCGCUAUGCCCACGUUACACUUUAGGGAAAUGGAGACGGACUGAGAAUUGACCGGGCGCGUGGAGCAGGCAGCGACUGGACCUGGCCCGACCCACUCUGCCGCCUUCAGCUGCGUCGCCCCAAAGCCUCUAAGCCCCCCAGGUCCCCCGCAGCGCCACCGCGCGCGGCUCAGACCCGUGGUGGGAAAGCCGCACGGUUGACCCCGGGGUCAGGUCCUCCGGGAGGGAAGCGCGGGAAGAAGCGGUGACGCCGCUGUGGACGUCACCUCGGGAGGAGGGGACCAAACAACAAGAAACAUCAGGACUGGAGAGAGAAAUAUUUGAAGAAUGCUUAAGUUUUCCUUUUCCUCUGUGAGAAGAGUGCUUCAUCUCUUUGGUGAGAGAAAAUACCUAAAGUUUAGAAGCUCUGUUGACGCUUUGUCUAAUUACCUUGGUGGGAACUUUCAUCAGCCAUCACACAUUGAAUCUAGAAGUGCUGGAACAAUAACUCAAGGGGACUGAUUGACAGUGACUGCUGCCAAAUUAGCAUUUCUAUGGAAGCCAGCGUCAGUUAUCAUCAACAGACAUUAUCCUCCUCUGAGAUUUUCUGAACUGCUUUUCAAUAGAGGCCAAAUCACUUGUAUGCAAUAAAACAAAAGAAACUUUGUCUGAAUACUGUAUUAGGACAGACACAAGUAUCUUAUAUUCUUUCACACUACAUGGUGUUCUUUAAACUGUAAGAGGAAAAGCACAACAGAUUCUUGCUGGGUUAGACAGAACCUCUUGUAGUGGGAUGAUUUAAAUUUAGUGUAUUUAAAAAUAUCAUAUACACCAAAUUGAGAAAAUGUAAGUUUUAAAGCUGAUUGAUUAAUGCAUUGUCAAUACAUCUGUCGUGAGCACACCAAAUAUUGUCAGGAUAAGGCCUGCGCACUUGUAAAGUGGCAAGAAAUUAUACUUUAUGAUAAGGGAUGUAAUUAGACUGUAUUUUAAUUUUUUUGUAAUUCACAACAAUAUAUGUUGUGUCUGAAAGAUAAAGGGAAUUUUAAGCACCAGUUAGUGAAAAUAUUUUUAUUUAAAUAAGAAACUGAAACUGAAGUCUUCCUAAAUAACAACUAUUAUCGCAUAAAAUAUUUUAAAAAUAGGACUUGAAUUUGGGUAUCUGUCUUAGUUACUUUUCUUGUUGCCAAGACAAAAUAUCUCACACCCAAAGUUAAAUGGGAAAGAGCUUAAUUACCUCACAGUUUGUGGAGGUUUCUGUCCAGAGCUGGCUGGCUCCAAGGCCGGGUAGCAUGGCAGAGGGGCACUGCAGAGGAGAAACAGUCCAUGGCAAAGAACGACAGGCAGAAGGCAGCAAGCAACAAGUGCAGACAACUUUAGCAGCUUCUUUCUGUCCCUUUUAUGUUUGAUCUAGGUUACCUGGCUUAGACAAGUGCCAAACCAGUCAGUAGACUGAUUUAGAUUUCACACAUCCCUAAUCCCACCACACACUCCAGAUUCCGUCACUUUUGAAACAGUCUUCACCUAUAACUGCAUGAAGCUUUGGGGGAACAUCUAGUCACAAGCCAUAACAUUCACCCCUAGCCCUUCAAAAAUUCAUACACAUCCCUUUAUGCAGAAAACAUUUAGUCCAUUUCCAAGAGUUGCCAAAGUCCUAACAGUUUCAACGUUGCUGAAAAGUCCAAGUACAAAAUUCUCCUCUGAGAUUUGAGGCAGACUCAUGAGGACACCUCUGUACAAAU
This is a long non-coding RNA of Heterocephalus glaber (naked mole-rat), 1788 nucleotides long. Lineage: Eukaryota; Metazoa; Chordata; Mammalia; Rodentia; Bathyergidae. The record is from Ensembl.